GGGUGUGAGGCGGGAGGAACGCCCGUGACCGGAGCCCCUGGCCCCGCCCCGAGCCCGCAGCCGUCGCCCAGGACCCCCGCCUCGAGAUCUGCAGAGACCGGGGCCUCCGGGACCCCGCCUCCGAUCCCCGCCUACCGGGGCCGCCGCGUCCUCCUCAUCCAUAGGCCUCUCAGCUCCGCGUUGUAGCUCUUCGGCCGCCGCCACCACACACAUCCGGGUCCCCGCCCUUCCUCUGCUCCGUGAGGUCCGCCCCUUACCGCUGAAUCUGACCAAUCUGCAGUGCUCUGUGAAGACGGGCGCCCUCAGCAGCCAAUCGGAAGGCUCGAGAGGUGCGGGGCGCGGCCCGGAGCCAGAGGCCGAUCUCCACAGCGGCAUCACUCGGCUAGCACCAUAUGCUUUCUUCUCUCCGGAGCACCACUUUGCACUACGUUCGUUCAUUCCAGGACGGACGUUCCAGAACAGGAGAGAACUUCAGAUGCAAAAGGCACAGUGGGAUGAACCCCGGUGCUGUUUGAGCUUACUAGGAAAGUUAGCUCGGGUCAGAAUGUACCGGAAAGGAUACUAACCUUUAUCAUGCACCUCCUAUACAGGGUGUGAUUGCCCUUGGAAGGAAUUGGGAUGCUUGGACAACUUCCAUGUUUUGCUGCUAAGACUGAACAUUCUUUCCAGAAAGACUCAUGCUGUGUCAGAAACAUAAAUGAACAUAUUUGUGUCUUUCCACAUCUAAAUUUAUUGAGUAUCAAUACAUUUACAAGCGAUGUCGA
Molecule: long non-coding RNA, 764 nt
Organism: Mastomys coucha (southern multimammate mouse)
Lineage: Eukaryota; Metazoa; Chordata; Mammalia; Rodentia; Muridae
Exons: 2
Source: RefSeq, a predicted model, not a curated record